RNAcentral lists this ribosomal RNA (253 nucleotides) under uncultured bacterium. RNAcentral's name for it is "partial 16S ribosomal RNA". It matches the Rfam family "Bacterial small subunit ribosomal RNA", at positions 524 to 776 of the family's 1533-position model. The record is from RNAcentral.
GACGUAGGGCGCGAGCGUUGUCCGGAUUUAUUGGGCGUAAAGAGCUCGUAGGCGGCUUGUCGCGUCGAAUGUGAAAUCUCAGGGUUCAACUCUGACAUUGCAUUCGAUACGGGCAGGCUAGAGUUCGGUAGGGGAGACUGGAAUUCCUGGUGUAGCGGUGAGAUGCGCAGAUAUCAGGAGGAACACCGGUGGCGAAGGCGAUCACCUGGGGUUGUUCUGACGCUGAGGAGCGAAAGCUAGGGGAGCAAACGGG